Molecule: transfer RNA, 74 nt
Filed under: Candidatus Saccharimonadota bacterium
Lineage: Bacteria; Candidatus Saccharimonadota
Description: tRNA-Leu
Rfam family: tRNA
About the family: Transfer RNA (tRNA) molecules are approximately 80 nucleotides in length. Their secondary structure includes four short double-helical elements and three loops (D, anti-codon, and T loops).
Source: RNAcentral
GCCAAUGUAGCUCAGAGGAUAGAGCGCUACUCUAGCGAUAGAGGUCGUCGGUUCGAGUCCGACCAUUGGCACCA